GGCCUAAUGGUCUAGUCGUAUGAUUCUCGCUUUGGGUUUGAUUGCGAGAGGUCCUGGGUUCAAUUCCCAGUUAGGCCC
Dendrothele bispora CBS 962.96 is the source of this 78-nucleotide non-coding RNA. The record is from the annotation of a GenBank genome assembly. Lineage: Eukaryota; Fungi; Basidiomycota; Agaricomycetes; Agaricales.